UUUAUGGAACAGUGUGCUCAGGAAAGAAUAUCAAACCCUGAGUGGGUGACUUGAACCUAUCAGGCAAAUGAGAGAGUGGGGAGGAGAGGCUGGCACAGUGUCUUGCCCGAAAGCCCAUCCGCGGUGCAGCUGCCCACACUUAGGAGGAAACUCUAAACCCCGAGCUUCUCACCGAGGAGGAAAGGGUGUGAAACCCACAUCAGGCUCCCCAGCAUUUGACAUUUGCGCCUCAGAGAAAACAUUUCGGCGACACCCACUAUAAGCCAUUGCCUCUUGGGAAUAUUCUGCCCCGAUUCUUCUGUACUUCCUAGAGGACUACCAGCCAAUAUGCUUCGCCACGGGAAGACAGCUGCCUAAGAAGCAAACACGGACCCAAUUGACAUUUGGGGAGGGAGUCUCCCGGACAAACCACUUGUGGCAUCCUUGGAAGUAUGUCUAGAUGACUAUGCAUUAUGGGAAGGCCUGCUAUUGUCCUAAACUGGAGAUCGCAUCCACUGAGCGUUCUGAUUAAAAGCAACCUCAAGCAAGGACAUAGCUCAGAUUCGAAGCUACACCAUUUGCUGGCCCCCGGAUCAGUAACUACUUGACCUUUCCAAGGAAUCCUGACUUGGGCAACUUAACCUAAUGCACGGUGGGCUUAAGGAGCCCAAGUCUGCUUCUCUUCUCCUCGAAUGCCCUUCGGGGCUCAUCUAACGCGGCAUCUUCUUCGCAACCGACUUGGUAUUUGUGAUCAGCUUAGAAGGCCAAGGAACACUAGACUAAAUCAAGUUUUCCAUGUCCUAACCUUGUCUCCACUCAAACGCCACAACAGCUUGUCUUAGGAUGAGAAGAGGAGAAGGACAAACACGUAUUUCUUCACUAGAAUUUUGUCCUGGCCCCAACUCGGUGGUGUCGGAGACCAUCCUGGACACAUGCUUUUUCUACUAUCUACCAGGCUUUUGCUUCAAAUGCACUUAUCUUUCCGCAGACCUGUCCCUCUUACUGCCAGCUCAGGCACCAUCAUUUUCCUGUACCCAAUUAUACUAAUCUACGUACUUGUGGGGAUCUGCGGAAAAAUAAGCUUUCCAUCACCGUGUGAAGAAUGUAGGCAAAUCCAGUGAAAAGAAGGGAAAGGACUCAGACUGGGGCAGAAGGAAAAGAGCAAGAAAACACACAGCUCUUGCCUCAGUGAACUGGCCUGUUACAUUUCCCUGCCUACGUUCCCUGUCCUUAUUUUAACUGCCCUCAUUUUCUCUGACUUGAUUUUCAUUCACACUGAAAGUACUCUCCCAUCUGAAAGAGUGAUUAAAUGUACUAGUUGAAGCACAA
Molecule: long non-coding RNA, 1308 nt
Organism: Leopardus geoffroyi (Geoffroy's cat)
Lineage: Eukaryota; Metazoa; Chordata; Mammalia; Carnivora; Felidae
Exons: 3
Source: RefSeq, a predicted model, not a curated record